GAGUUUGAUCMUGGCUCAGAUUGAACGCUGGCGGUAGGCUUAACACAUGCAAGUCGUGCGAGAAAGUAUCUUCGGAUAUGAGUAGAGCGGCGGACGGGUGAGUAACGCGUAGGAAUCUACCUAGUAGAAGGGGAUAGCCCGGGGAAACCCGGAUUAAUACCGUAUACCUCCUUCGGGAGAAAGAAGGCCUCUCUUUGAAGCUUUCGCUAUUAGAUGAGCCUGCGUAAGAUUAGCUUGUUGGUGAGGUAAAGGCUCACCAAGGCGACGAUCUUUAGCUGGUCUGAGAGGACGAUCAGCCACAUUGGGACUGAGACACGGCCCAGACUCCUACGGGAGGCAGCAGUGGGGAAUAUUGGACAAUGGGCGAAAGCCUGAUCCAGCCAUACCGCGUGUGUGAAGAAGGCCUUCGGGUUGUAAAGCACUUUAAGCAGGGAGAAAAAGUUAUAAGUUAAUACCUUAUAACCGUGAUGUUACCUGCAGAAUAAGCACCGGCUAAUUCCGUGCCAGCAGCCGCGGUAAUACGGAAGGUGCAAGCGUUAAUCGGAAUUACUGGGCGUAAAGCGCGCGUAGGUGGUUUGUUAAGUUGGAUGUGAAAGCCCUGGGCUCACCUAGAACUGCAUCCAAAACUAACUCACUAGAGUAC
This 643-nucleotide ribosomal RNA is filed under the name uncultured bacterium. Its description in RNAcentral is "bacterial SSU rRNA". It matches the Rfam family "Bacterial small subunit ribosomal RNA", at positions 9 to 649 of the family's 1533-position model. The record is from RNAcentral.